This 433-nucleotide ribosomal RNA is filed under the name uncultured bacterium. Its description in RNAcentral is "partial 16S ribosomal RNA". It matches the Rfam family "Bacterial small subunit ribosomal RNA", at positions 29 to 507 of the family's 1533-position model. The record is from RNAcentral.
AACGAACGCUGGCGGCAUGCCUAACACAUGCAAGUCGAACGAGACCUUCGGGUCUAGUGGCGCAAGGGUGCGUAACGCGUGGGAACCUGCCCUUAGGUUCGGAAUAACUCCCCGAAAGGGGUGCUAAUACCGGAUAAUGUCUUCGGACCAAAGAUUUAUCGCCUUUGGAUGGGCCCGCGUUGGAUUAGCUAGUUGGUAGGGUAAAAGCCUACCAAGGCGACGAUCCAUAGCUGGUCUGAGAGGAUGAUCAGCCACACUGGGACUGAGACACGGCCCAGACUCCUACGGGAGGAAGCAGUGGGGAAUAUUGGACGAUGGGCGAAAGCCUGAGCCAGCAAUGCCGCGUGAGUGAUGAAGGCCUUAGGGUUGUAAAGCUCUUUUACCCGGGAUGAUAAUGACAGUACCGGGAGAAUAAGCGCCGGCUAACUCCGUG